RNAcentral lists this ribosomal RNA (169 nucleotides) under uncultured bacterium. Its description in RNAcentral is "partial 16S ribosomal RNA". It matches the Rfam family "Bacterial small subunit ribosomal RNA", at positions 338 to 524 of the family's 1533-position model. The record is from RNAcentral.
CCUACGGGAGGCAGCAGUGGGGAAUAUUGCACAAUGGGCGAAAGCCUGAUGCAGCAACGCCGCGUGAGUGAAGAAGUAUCUCGGUAUGUAAAGCUCUAUCAGCAGGGAAGAAAAUGACGGUACCUGACUAAGAAGCCCCGGCUAACUACGUGCCAGCAGCCGCGGUAAU